UUGGCUUUCCAGCCCCAAACCAGGGUCAAAAGCCAGGAAGAGGUCAUGGAAAGUCUCAGUUCCUGGCAGCUUGUUCCACGGUGGCUGGGAGGGUAAGCUUGGCCAGCAGCUGGGCCCGAGUCCCCUGGACCUCAGUGUGGAAUAUUGACCUCAGAGAUCCAGACCUGCAAUGAACGAGAAGGAAAUGGGGCUCCCUGGUAGACGAGUGCCCUUCAUAUAGUCCAUAAUGAGGACUUAGUGCGUUACGUAGAUUUGAACAUCUUUUGUCUUCAGUAAUCAGGUGAAUAUGGCUGUGUGCUAUUUUGAACCACCACCACUGGGGAUUUACCAAGCUUAUAGUUAUUGUGCAGAUCUUUGCAAAAAUAUGAGCAACUGAAAUAAUCUACAGAGCAAAUGUCAGAUGGUGAAUCAAUGAACGAACUGCAGCAAACAAUGGUGGGAGACAGCGGACACAGCCGUGAGCUCUCAGGGGUGGAGACGUACCGUGGGAUUGAACACACUGGGUAUUUGGAGGCUUUUAGGAGUCAGGGCAAGACACCGGCGCUACAGGGGUAGAAAGAUAACACGAUGGGCACGGAUGUGCCUGUGAAGCCAAAAUAAAGUCGACGCAGCGAUAUUGC
This is a long non-coding RNA of Ailuropoda melanoleuca (giant panda), 620 nucleotides long. RefSeq lists it as uncharacterized. The record is from RefSeq and is a predicted model, not a curated record. The transcript is spliced from 3 exons. Lineage: Eukaryota; Metazoa; Chordata; Mammalia; Carnivora; Ursidae.